RNAcentral lists this transfer RNA (71 nucleotides) under Oryctolagus cuniculus (rabbit). It matches the Rfam family "tRNA". From Rfam's summary of the family: Transfer RNA (tRNA) molecules are approximately 80 nucleotides in length. Their secondary structure includes four short double-helical elements and three loops (D, anti-codon, and T loops). The record is from Rfam by way of RNAcentral. Lineage: Eukaryota; Metazoa; Chordata; Mammalia; Lagomorpha; Leporidae.
CCCAGGCUAGCUCAGUCGGUAGAGUACAGGACUUAAUCCCAGGGUCAUGGGUUCGAGCCCCAUGUUGGGCG